Molecule: unclassified non-coding RNA, 200 nt
Filed under: uncultured fungus
Lineage: Eukaryota; Fungi
Description: sequence contains ITS1
Source: RNAcentral
UUAACUAUUAUAUAGUACUCAGACGACACUAACAUUCAGAGUUUGGGGUCCUCUGGCAGGCACGCACCAGCCGAAGCCAGUGGUCAGACCGAAGUAUGACGGCCUACCAAAGCAACAAAGGUAUAAAUACAUAGGGUGGGAGAUCUACCCCGAAGGGCAUGAACUCUGUAAUGAUCCCUCCGCAGGUUCACCUACGGAGA